AAAAAAACAAACCCUGGGUUUCCAUGUCCAACGUUUGACUGCCCGUCUUAUAUGAAAUUUUUUUAUAAUUAGUAUUUUCAUUGUUGUUAGAUGAUAAAAUAUGAUUAAUACUUUAUGCGUGACUUGUCUUUUUAAUUUUUUUAUAAUUUUUUUAAAUAAGACGGACGGUCAAAACGUUAGAUACGGAAAUUUAGGGUUUGUCUUUUU
MicroRNA precursor from Oryza rufipogon (brownbeard rice), 207 nucleotides. It matches the Rfam family "MIR812 microRNA precursor family". Lineage: Eukaryota; Viridiplantae; Streptophyta; Magnoliopsida; Poales; Poaceae. The record is from Rfam.